RNAcentral lists this ribosomal RNA (347 nucleotides) under uncultured soil bacterium. Its description in RNAcentral is "bacterial SSU rRNA". It matches the Rfam family "Bacterial small subunit ribosomal RNA", at positions 26 to 376 of the family's 1533-position model. The record is from RNAcentral.
AGAUUGAACGCUGGCGGCAGGCCUAACACAUGCAAGUCGAGCGGUAGAGAGGUGCUUGCAUCUCUUGAGAGCGGCGGACGGGUGAGUAAUGCCUAGGAAUCUGCCUAGUGGUGGGGGAUAACGUUCGGAAACGGACGCUAAUACCGCAUACGUCCUACGGGAGAAAGCGGGGGACCUUCGGGCCUCGCGCCAUUAGAUGAGCCUAGGUCGGAUUAGCUAGUUGGUGAGGUAAUGGCUCACCAAGGCGACGAUCCGUAACUGGUCUGAGAGGAUGAUCAGUCACACUGGGACUGAGACACGGCCCAGACUCCUACGGGAGCAGCAGUAGGGAAUAUUGGACAAGUGGG